AACAGCCACAUUGGGACUGAGACACGGCCCAAACUCCUACGGGAGGCAGCAGUAGGGAAUUUUCGGCAAUGGAGGAAACUCUGACCGAGCAACGCCGCGUGAAUGACGAAGUACUUCGGUAUGUAAAGUUCUUUUAUCAAGGAAGAAAAGCAAAUGGCGAACCAUUUGUUUGCCGGUACUUGAUGAAUAAGCCCCGGCUAAUUAUGUGCCAGCAGCCGCGGUAAGACAUAAGGGGCAAGUGUUAUCCGGAAUUAUUGGGCGUAAAGGGUGCGUAGGCGGUCUAGUAAGUCAGUGGUGUAAUGGCAACGCUUAACGUUGUCCGGCUAUUGAAACUGCUAAACUUGAGUUAGAUAGAGGCGAGUGGAAUUCCAUGUGUAGCGGUAAAAUGCGUAAAUAUAUGGAGGAACACCAGAGGCGUAGGCGGCUCGCUGGGUCUUAACUGACGCUGAGGCACGAAAGCGUGGGGAGCAAACAGGAUUAGAUACCCUGGUAGUCCACGCCGUAAACGAUGAGUACUAAGUGUCGGGUUAAACCGGUACUGAAGUUAACACAUUAAGUACUCCGCCUGAGUAGUACGUACGCAAGUAUGAAACUUAAAGGAAUUGACGGGACUCCGCACAAGCGGUGGAUCAUGUUGUUUAAUUCGAAGAUACCCGAAAAACCUUACCAGGUCUUGACAUGUUUUUGCAAAAUGAUAGUAAUAUCGUGGAGGUUACCAGAAACACAGGUGGUGCAUGGUUGUCGUCAGCUCGUGUCGUGAGAUGUUAGGUUAAGUCCUAAAACGAGCGAAACCCUUAUCGUUAGUUGCCAGCACGUUAUGGUGGGGACUUUAACGAGACUGCCAAUGAUAAAUUGGAGGAAGGUGAGGAUCACGUCAAAUCAGCAUGCCCCUUAUGACCUGGGCUACAAACGUGAUACAAUGGCUGUUACAAAGGGUAGCUGAAACGCAAGUUCUUGGCCAAUCCCCAAAAACAGUCCCAGUCCGGAUUGAAGUCUGCAACUCGACUUCAUGAAGUUGGAAUCGCUAGUAAUCGCACAUGCGGGGACGUC
RNAcentral lists this ribosomal RNA (1050 nucleotides) under 'Medicago sativa' phytoplasma. RNAcentral's name for it is "bacterial SSU rRNA". It matches the Rfam family "Bacterial small subunit ribosomal RNA", at positions 303 to 1369 of the family's 1533-position model. Lineage: Bacteria; Bacillati; Mycoplasmatota; Mollicutes; Acholeplasmatales; Acholeplasmataceae. The record is from RNAcentral.